RNAcentral lists this ribosomal RNA (500 nucleotides) under uncultured bacterium. Its description in RNAcentral is "partial 16S ribosomal RNA". It matches the Rfam family "Bacterial small subunit ribosomal RNA", at positions 30 to 523 of the family's 1533-position model. The record is from RNAcentral.
AUUGAACGCUGGCGGAAUGCUUUACACAUGCAAGUCGAACGGCAGCACGGACUUCGGUCUGGUGGCGAGUGGCGAACGGGUGAGUAACAUAUCGGACCGUAUCCAAUAAUGGGGGAUAACGAGUCGAAAGAUUCGCUAAUACCGCAUACGCCCUACGGGGGAAAGCUGGGGACCUUCGGGCCUGGCGUUAAUGGAGCGGCCGAUAUCUGAUUAGCUAGUUGGUGAGGUAAAGGCUCACCAAGGCGACGAUCAGUAGCUGGUCUGAGAGGACGACCAGCCACACUGGAACUGAGACACGGUCCAGACUCCUACGGGAGGCAGCAGUGGGGAAUGUUGGACAAUGGGCGCAAGCCUGAUCCAGCCAUUCCGCGUGAGUGAAGAAGGCCUUCGGGUUGUAAAGCUCUUUCGCAAGGGAAGAAAACUUAGCCACUAACAUUGGUUGAGGUUGACGGUACCUGAAGAAUAAGCACCGGCUAACUACGUGCCAGCCGCCGCGGUAA